Molecule: ribosomal RNA, 541 nt
Filed under: Alternaria arborescens
Lineage: Eukaryota; Fungi; Ascomycota; Dothideomycetes; Pleosporales; Pleosporaceae
Also listed under: 1 other name
Description: eukaryotic LSU rRNA
Rfam family: 5.8S ribosomal RNA (bases 165-318)
Source: RNAcentral
GGCAACAUAUGAGGCGGGCUGGACCUCUCGGGGUUACAGCCUUGCUGAAUUAUUCACCCUUGUCUUUUGCGUACUUCUUGUUUCCUUGGUGGGUUCGCCCACCACUAGGACAAACAUAAACCUUUUGUAAUUGCAAUCAGCGUCAGUAACAAAUUAAUAAUUACAACUUUCAACAACGGAUCUCUUGGUUCUGGCAUCGAUGAAGAACGCAGCGAAAUGCGAUAAGUAGUGUGAAUUGCAGAAUUCAGUGAAUCAUCGAAUCUUUGAACGCACAUUGCGCCCUUUGGUAUUCCAAAGGGCAUGCCUGUUCGAGCGUCAUUUGUACCCUCAAGCUUUGCUUGGUGUUGGGCGUCUUGUCUCUAGCUUUGCUGGAGACUCGCCUUAAAGUAAUUGGCAGCCGGCCUACUGGUUUCGGAGCGCAGCACAAGUCGCACUCUCUAUCAGCAAAGGUCUAGCAUCCAUUAAGCCUUUUUUUCAACUUUUGACCUCGGAUCAGGUAGGGAUACCCGCUGAACUUAAGCAUAUCAAAAGCCGGGAGGAA